Molecule: transfer RNA, 90 nt
Filed under: Sphingomonas vulcanisoli
Lineage: Bacteria; Pseudomonadati; Pseudomonadota; Alphaproteobacteria; Sphingomonadales; Sphingomonadaceae
Description: tRNA-Ser
Rfam family: tRNA
About the family: Transfer RNA (tRNA) molecules are approximately 80 nucleotides in length. Their secondary structure includes four short double-helical elements and three loops (D, anti-codon, and T loops). Further hydrogen bonds mediate the characteristic L-shaped molecular structure. tRNAs have two regions of fundamental functional importance: the anti-codon, which is responsible for specific mRNA codon recognition, and the 3' end, to which the tRNAs corresponding amino acid is attached (by aminoacyl-tRNA synthetases). tRNAs cope with the degeneracy of the genetic code in two manners: having more than one tRNA (with a specific anti-codon) for a particular amino acid; and 'wobble' base-pairing, i.e. permitting non-standard base-pairing at the 3rd anti-codon position.
Source: RNAcentral
GGAGACGUGGGUGAGUGGCUGAAACCAACGCUUUGCUAAAGCGUCGUACGGGCAACCGUACCGAGAGUUCGAAUCUCUCCGUCUCCGCCA